This 205-nucleotide long non-coding RNA is filed under the name Mytilus galloprovincialis (Mediterranean mussel). Lineage: Eukaryota; Metazoa; Mollusca; Bivalvia; Mytilida; Mytilidae. The record is from RNAcentral.
UUUUCAAGUUGGUCCAAAUCGGGGUCCAAAAUUAAACUUUUGUUUGAUUUCAUCAAAAAUUGAAUAAUUGGGGUUCUUUGAUAUGCCAAAUCUAACUGUGUAUGUAGAUUCUUAAUUUUUGGUCCCGUUUUCAAAUUGGUCUACAUUAAAGUCCAAAGGGUCCAAAAUUAAACUAAGUUUGAUUUUAACAAAAAAUGAAUUCUUG